AGAGAUGGAGAACCUCUCCCAAGGACA
RNAcentral lists this transfer RNA (27 nucleotides) under Eulemur flavifrons (Sclater's lemur). RNAcentral describes it as "partial tRNA-Thr". Lineage: Eukaryota; Metazoa; Chordata; Mammalia; Primates; Lemuridae. The record is from RNAcentral.